UGGGGAAUAUUGCACAAUGGGCGAAAGCCUGAUGCAGCAACGCCGCGUGAGUGAUGAAGGUCUUCGGAUUGUAAAGCUCUGUCUUUUGGGACGAUAAUGACGGUACCAAAGGAGGAAGCCACGGCUAACUACGUGCCAGCAGCCGCGGUAAUACGUAGGUGGCGAGCGUUGUCCGGAUUUACUGGGCGUAAAGGGUGCGUAGGCGGAUGUUUAAGUGAGAUGUGAAAUACCCGGGCUUAACUUGGGUGCCGCAUUUCAAACUGGAUAUCUAGAGUGCAGGAGAGGAGAAUGGAAUUCCUAGUGUAGCGGUGAAUNAUGCGUAGAGGAUU
This 329-nucleotide ribosomal RNA is filed under the name uncultured bacterium. Its description in RNAcentral is "partial 16S ribosomal RNA". It matches the Rfam family "Bacterial small subunit ribosomal RNA", at positions 355 to 698 of the family's 1533-position model. The record is from RNAcentral.